This 460-nucleotide ribosomal RNA is filed under the name uncultured bacterium. RNAcentral's name for it is "partial 16S ribosomal RNA". It matches the Rfam family "Bacterial small subunit ribosomal RNA", at positions 338 to 795 of the family's 1533-position model. The record is from RNAcentral.
CCUACGGGAGGCAGCAGUGAGGAAUAUUGGUCAAUGGGCUUACGCCUGAACCAGCCAAGUCGCGUGAGGGAAGACUGCCCUAUGGGUUGUAAACCUCUUUUGUCAGGGAGCAACGCCGGCUACGUGUAGCCGGACUGAGAGUACCUGCAGACAAAGCAUCGGCUAACUCCGUGCCAGCAGCCGCGGUAAUACGGAGUAUGCGAGCGUUAUCCGGAUUUAUUGGGUUUAAAGGGUGCGUAGGCGGAAUGCCAAGUCAGCGGUAAAAUCGCGGGGCUCAACCUCGCUCCGCCGUUGAAACUGGCGGUCUUGAGUGGGCGAGAAGUAGGCGGAAGGCGUGGUGUAGCGGUGAAAUGCAUAGAUAUCACGCAGAACUCCGAUUGCGAAGGCAGCAUACCGGCGCCCAACUGACGCUGAAGCACGAAAGCGUGGGUAUCGAACAGGAUUAGAUACCCCUGUAGUC